AUCAACGCUGGCGGCGUGCCUAACACAUGCAAGUCGAACGAGAAAGGGUGAGUGUAGCAAUACACUUGCCUGAGUAAAGUGGCGAACGGGUGAGUAACACGUGGCCAACCUGCCCUCAAGAGGGGGAUAACCUGGGGAAACCUGGGGCUAAUACCGCGUAACAUCCCGGUGGCGGAAGCCGCGGGGAUCAAAGGCCCGCAAGGGUCGCUUGAGGAGGGGGCUGCGGCCGAUUAGCUAGUUGGUGAGGUAACGGCCCACCAAGGCGAUGAUCGGUAGCCGGCCUGAGAGGGCGCACGGCCACACUGGCACUGAAACACGGGCCAGACUCCUACGGGAGGCAGCAGUGGGGAAUUUUGCACAAUGCCCGAAAGGGUGAUGCAGCAACGCCGCGUGAGGGAUGAAGGCCUUCGGGUCGUAAACCUCUUUCG
Molecule: ribosomal RNA, 428 nt
Filed under: uncultured bacterium
Lineage: Bacteria
Description: bacterial SSU rRNA
Rfam family: Bacterial small subunit ribosomal RNA
Source: RNAcentral